Molecule: ribosomal RNA, 452 nt
Filed under: uncultured bacterium
Lineage: Bacteria
Description: bacterial SSU rRNA
Rfam family: Bacterial small subunit ribosomal RNA
Source: RNAcentral
AACGAACGCUGGCGGCAGGCCUAAUACAUGCAAGUCGAACGGGCGUAGCAAUACGUCAGUGGCGGACGGGUGAGUAACACGUGGGAACAUGCCUUUCGGUUCGGAAUAACGCAGGGAAACUUGCGCUAAUACCGGAUGACCCGGCGACGGAAAAGAUUUAUCGCCGAAAGAUUGGCCCGCGUAGGAUUAGCUAGUUGGUGAGGUAACGGCCCACCAAGGCGACGAUCCUUAGCUGGUUUGAGAGAACGAUCAGCCACACUGGGACUGAGACACGGCCCAGACUCCUACGGGAGGCAGCAGUGGGGAAUCUUGGACAAUGGGCGCAAGCCUGAUCCAGCCAUGCCGCGUGAGUGAAGAAGGCCUUAGGGUUGUAAAGCUCUUUUACCGGGACGAUAAUGACGGUACCUGGAGAAUAAGCCCCGGCAAAACUUCGUGCCAGCAGCCGCAGUAAU